This is a small nucleolar RNA of Papaver somniferum (opium poppy), 81 nucleotides long. RefSeq annotates it as small nucleolar RNA R12. The record is from RefSeq and is a predicted model, not a curated record. The transcript has a single exon. Lineage: Eukaryota; Viridiplantae; Streptophyta; Magnoliopsida; Ranunculales; Papaveraceae.
GUUGGGAUGAUGAAAAAAAACAAAUCAGUCGGAUUCGCAUUGAUUUUCAUUAACGUGAUAAAACAACCACUUCUGACUAAC